This 805-nucleotide transfer RNA is filed under the name uncultured cyanobacterium. Its description in RNAcentral is "partial 16S-23S ribosomal RNA intergenic spacer". The stretch from base 242 to 314 matches the Rfam family "tRNA". The record is from RNAcentral. Lineage: Bacteria; Bacillati; Cyanobacteriota.
CAGGGAGACAAAAAAUUGAUUGUGAUGUCUAAGUAUUUUCUCUUAGGCCGCAAUCCUGUCACCUUUAGGUCGAUCGGUACCUCAGAUUAAUUUUAUUUUUAAUAAAUUGAUUUCAGUUCCUAAACUUGUCUAGGUCACACCCAACAUUUGUUUCUCCUGGGCCAUUAGCUCAGGUGGUUAGAGCGCACCCCUGAUAAGGGUGAGGUCCCUGGUUCAAGUCCAGGAUGGCCCAUUCGGUGUUGGGGGUUUAGCUCAGUUGGUAGAGCGCCUGCUUUGCAAGCAGGAUGUCAGCGGUUCGAGUCCGCUAACCUCCACUGACGAAUCUUCUGACAACGAGCCAAUGGUGAGAAUCGUUGUGUGAUGUGAUUUAGAAUUUAAGUUUGCUGGCAGACCCUAGCUUCUUAUCAUUCCAGGACUCAAUCAAUUGAGAUGAGGUUGAUAGGACGCUGGGUUCACUGUAAUUCGCAAGAAUUGCAGAGAUGUUCAGCAGGACCUUGACAACUGCAUAGGUAAGUCUGGAAAGAAUAAAGCAUCUCAUGGAUGCAUGAUUCUUGGGAAUCAGCUGAUGCAAUCUGCGCGAGCAGAGAGCUGAGGUUGAUGAACGAGAAUGAUGUUUGAUUCUUGAGUCAAGAGCCGAGACUCUAUAGCGUUCUUUCGAUGUCAUCGAGGCAUCGAGAGUUUGAUUGGUGAUUCAAACCAUUUUCAAUGACAAACAAUUCAGUUUAACUGGAGAAGUUUGAGAUUGAAGCCAGGUGAAUUGCUAAGAAUACGUAUUCAACUACGUGAAGCGUUAUAGAGAUUAAUU